This 465-nucleotide ribosomal RNA is filed under the name Vreelandella stevensii. RNAcentral describes it as "partial 16S ribosomal RNA". It matches the Rfam family "Bacterial small subunit ribosomal RNA", at positions 338 to 795 of the family's 1533-position model. The record is from RNAcentral. Lineage: Bacteria; Pseudomonadati; Pseudomonadota; Gammaproteobacteria; Oceanospirillales; Halomonadaceae.
CCUACGGGGGGCAGCAGUGGGGAAUAUUGGACAAUGGGCGAAAGCCUGAUCCAGCCAUGCCGCGUGUGUGAAGAAGGCCUUCGGGUUGUAAAGCACUUUCAGUGGGGAAGAAAGCCUUGGGGCUAAUACCCUCGAGGAAGGACAUCACCCACAGAAGAAGCACCGGCUAACUCCGUGCCAGCAGCCGCGGUAAUACGGAGGGUGCGAGCGUUAAUCGGAAUUACUGGGCGUAAAGCGCGCGUAGGCGGUCUGAUAAGCCGGUUGUGAAAGCCCCGGGCUCAACCUGGGAACGGCAUCCGGAACUGUCAGGCUAGAGUGCAGGAGAGGAAGGUAGAAUUCCCGGUGUAGCGGUGAAAUGCGUAGAGAUCGGGAGGAAUACCAGUGGCGAAGGCGGCCUUCUGGACUGACACUGACGCUGAGGUGCGAAAGCGUGGGUAGCAAACAGGAUUAGCUACCCGUGUAGUC